CUGGGAUUACAGGUGUGUAUUGCUUGCUCUUUUUCCCUCCUUCCCCAGUUGUGGUGCCUCCUUAAACGACAGUCAAAGUUCAUUGAAGUGUCAUUUAACCUCAAUGCAAAGGCUGGGACAAGACACAGUAUGAACUGCCCUGACAAGAAGAAAAGAACUAAACACCAUCCUUAGGACAAAACCAUCCCAAAGGUUUGAGCUUUUCUUGUGGCAACUCUUGACUUUAGAUGGUCAAAGGACCAGGGACCUCAUUCCUUUAUUUUUGUUACAUCCAGAACUUCUCUUCAUGCCCCUAAAGGCUGAAAAUAACCUCAUACUGCUUAUCUCUUGGGUUCUCGGGGACAGAGAGUUACCAGAUUUUGUGAACUAAUCAAUUUGUUCUUUAUAUUUCACUGAGCCCAGACAGAUUGGGAAAGAAGUGGUGUUUCCUUCCACCAUGUCAAACAGCCUAUGGCUGUAGGGACGAGGCACCUGGGAGUUCUCCUGCCUUGAGGUCAGGGCACCUCCUAAUCGACCUGUCCCCAUUCUCCUCCAAACCAGGAUGUGGUAGCUGAAGAUGAGGCUUGAUAUGAAAAUGGAAAGCCUAAAGAAGCAUGGUGGGAUGUGAGCAAACCAAAGAACUGGGGUUUCCCCCUUAGUUUUUAGGUAGAGGGAAACCUACCUACUAUAAAAAGUUAAAUGAAAAAAUACCAGCAGAGGGAAGUCCAACACAGAUACCAUUUUUGCUCAAAGUAAAUCCACUGAGGGAAAUUCCCCUCUUAGGAAAAAAAAAAAAUUAUUAGAAACGACUGCUUUCAAAUUUCUUUCUAUCUCCAUUUCUUCACUGUCUUCUGAGGAGAGCCAACAGAGGUUAAUCCUGGAAAUCCUGUCUUGGGGUUGGCAGUUGUGGAGACUGACCACUUGGUACUUGGGGCAUCUACAGAAAAAGGAAAGUGAAAUGCUAGAUCCACAGGGGCCAAGAUACUCUGGAAUGUAAGUCACAGGUGAGCAGAGUAAGGACCAAGGCUGCCCUGGGGGAGUAUGUGACUAUGUUACAAGUUCAAGGUGGUGUCCCUGAUGUCUCAGAGGGAGGGGGACCCAGCUCCAAAGUUGCCCGCCACAGACACCAGAGAGGGUCUAGGGCAUUGUGUCUGCUGACUCUGUCCUUGGGGAUAGAACCGGCUUAAUCUCUCAGGGACCCAAAUUCCAGUUUCCUGUUUGGUAAAGAAGGCAUCAGCCAGCAUUCUGACCUGCACUGGUUCCUGAUUACUUUGAAUUAUGUGGCUCAGAAAACCCCAGAGAUUUCACUGUCUGAUACCUGGAGGCCAACUGAAAGAGAAACUAACUAAUUAAUGGCAGCAGAAGUCUAAAAGAAAAUGCAAAAUUUAGCACCUUCUAAGAGUAGAUUCUUGGUCUCAGUUUGGCUCUUGGCAGAGGCAGAGCUAAGAGUCCCCCCCACCCCAUGGAUGGGGGAAAGGUCCACAGCAUUGUCCACCCAGGGCGGUGUAACUUGACCCAGCUUUGAGUUCUGUGGCUCCUUUUAUGGCUGUUACUUUUAAGCACAGUUGCCUUUUGUUUUCCUCUUGCCAUGGAAACUAGUAAAUAAAGAGGAGCAAGAUUUUUGAAAGGUCUCCAGCUUUAGAUGCAUUGUGGCUUCAAGACCAGUCAAAAAGCUCCUCCCUGCCCCUCACCUGAAGAGGAAAUAGCGACUGGGGAUGAAGAAGGGAAGGAAAGAAUCGGAAGCUCUGGUCAAGGGAAGCGUGGGCUUCGUGUUGAGGUCCUCUGAGUCCAAUGUCUAACAUUUGGUGCUGUUUGUUCACAAAACUAUAGAGUGUGCACAUUAUACGAUUCUUCAGAAAACUGAGUUCAAUCCGAUGGUUUUUUGUUUCUUGGCUAUCCUUCAUGUAGCUUUCUUUGGGUGAUUAUUUACAGUUACUUCAGCAUGGUGUCACACGACUCAUUGCAGUGGAAUCCGGUCAGAUGGUCCUCACGCUCUGGUUCCAGCUAUGGACAUGUGUUUUGAUUUACUAAGUGCUUAAGCCGAUCAUCCUAUGCUCCAUUCCUAUGGAAGACAUCAUUUGCAGCAGACAACUUGGAAUAGCAGCAUCAUGCCUGCAAAAAAGAAUUUUUUUUUUCCAGUGACUUCCUGAUUAAUUCUAAAAUCUUCAACUGUCUUUUGGGUAGACACCAUUCCAAGUGGUUCACCCAGCACUUCUCAACCCUGGAUCCAUAACCUCCUCUCCAUCAACCCCUCCCACCUUCAUCCUGUGCAUUCCAUCACUCCCAAAGAGUCUCAGAAUGUCCUGGAUGGGACCUUGUGUGUGUGUGUGUGUGUGUGUGUGUGUGUGUGUGUGUGUGUGUUCAACACCCCAGGUGAGUUUUGAAGCCCAGACUCUGUUGAGAACCUCUGAGGUAAUGUGAUCUUUUAAAAGCAAUUUGCUUUCAUGACAAUACAGGACAUAAGGAUAGGAAGAGAAGAUGCUCACAGAAAUGAAGGCAGUGGAAUAAUGUCCACAUUCAUCAAGGGGCUUGCUUCAUGGUGAAGACCCGCUGCUCUCUUAUCUCAUGGGUUCAUUUGACUUUACAUAAAGUGCUAUAAAACUGUAAAAUUCUAUCGUGUUUUUGGAAUCUGAGACAUGAAGAAAGGUCACCUCCAGAUGUUAAAAAAAAAAAAAAAAAAGCAGACUGCCAUUUCACUGCACUCAAUCUGGCCUCACAGAUGAAAAACGGCAUGUGCUGGUAAAUCCACAGAUAAGGAGUCAUUCAUUUUCUGGAUGGUGAGUGACUGGCUCCCAGCACAUACAGUUCUGCAGGGAGAUGGACCCAGGCUUUAUGAGGGCUGUUCCGCAUGUAAGACAGACCCGAGCUCUGACAGAAACCACUCUCCAGGUGUGAGAUAGGUCUACUCUGCUUGUUCACAGCCUCUCAAUAAGGUGUGCUGUUUUUCAACAUGAUAUUGGUGUUCACGAGCUGGAGUUAUUGCAGUGGAGAUGCUCAAACCUAGGAAACCUGAUAUUCAGUUUUUGAGUGAACCCUGAAGCCAAUCUUUAGCUACAAGAAGAGUCUUCUGGAACCAACCAACUUUUGUUCAAAGCAGGAUCAAGCCCAUAAAGCCUCGCUUAACAGGAGGAAAAAGUACAAGAACUGUUUAAGGGUUGGGGAAAGAGGGAAAAAUGAACACACAUCUGCAUGCUACAAACAGACCGUCCCUAGUGAUGGAAAUGUCUCACGCUUGAUCCUCACUUUGCAAAUGAGAAACUCAGGACUUCCUGUGAGAGGGGUCACCAUGGUGGGCAGGAGGUCCCAGACAGUUUUCCAUCUUCUACAGCCGAGAAAUCUGGGCACAUUUUCCUCCCCAAGGAAGACUUGGGUGAGUGGCAGCUUCAUUAGGAAAAGAGAGAGGGCUACAGGUAAGUCCACAAAAACCAUCUCCUCUCACCACGCAGGGGAGCACAGCCUGCAGUCUCACACAGAGAAGGUGCUGCAGGAGAGCUGGACCCCAGCUCUAAAGCACCCCAGAGAGCUGAGCUUGUGGAGUCAGAGAGUCGCCAAGAGAGUUUAGCAGUCACCUGGUUCAGUAGGCUCGUGGGUUCCCCAUCAAUCUUCUGGAGAGCCUUUCAAAAUAAGGACUCUGGGUUUCACUCAGAAAUUUGGGUUCAGUGUUAAAAGCUCCCAGGUGAUUUCCAUAGACUGCUGCAUGGGAUCCACUUUUGCAAACUUUCCUUUUACAGUCAAAGGAACUGGGUCAGUAGAGUUGACUUUUUCACAUGCUGGGGACUCUAAAUGAGAUGCCUCUGUUCAAGCGUCUCCCUUUGGAAAUUGCGUGACUGGGGUCAAGGGUGUAGCUUAGUGGCAGAGCAUGUGCUUAGCAUGCUGAGGCCCUGGGCUUGAUCCCCAAAACACACACACAAAUUUUCAUGCUCAAAACAUUGUGUGACCCCUUUUUUUCCACUGUUUUCAGAACACACAGGAUUCUUUUGACUAUUCUUAAAAAAUAGGUUAACAGCAUACUUCUGAGAGGAGAAAAGAGUGAUAAAAUAAUUUGUUAUAUGUUUCUGAAAUAUCUGUUGACCGAAAAAGGUUUUUUUAUAUUGGUGGAGUACUAAGAGCUAUUAUUCUUUUAAAAUAUUUCUAAAAAUUAUUUCUAAUAAACUCAACACAUAUCCUUGU
This is a non-coding RNA of Ictidomys tridecemlineatus (thirteen-lined ground squirrel), 4149 nucleotides long. Lineage: Eukaryota; Metazoa; Chordata; Mammalia; Rodentia; Sciuridae. The record is from RefSeq and is a predicted model, not a curated record.